Molecule: ribosomal RNA, 406 nt
Filed under: uncultured bacterium
Lineage: Bacteria
Description: partial 16S ribosomal RNA
Rfam family: Bacterial small subunit ribosomal RNA
Source: RNAcentral
AUUGAACGCUGGCGGCAGGCCUAACACAUGCAAGUCGAGCGAGCGGCGGACGGGUGAGUAAUGUAUGGGGAUCUGCCCGAUAGAGGGGGAUAACUACUGGAAACGGUGGCUAAUACCGCAUACUAUCGGAUGAACCCAUAUGGGAUUAGCCAGUAGGUGGGGUAAAGGCUCACCUAGGCGAGGAUCUGUAGCUGGUCUGAGAGGAUGACCGGCCACACUGGAACUGAGACACGGCCCAUACGCCUACGGGAGGCAGCAGUGGGGAAUAUUGCACAAGUGGCGCAAGCCUGAUGCAGCCAUGCCGCGUGUAUGAUGAAGGCCUUAGGGUUGUAAAGUACUUUCAGCGGGGAGGCGUUACCCGCAGAAGAAGCACCGGCUAACGCCGUGCCAGCAGCCGCGGUAAUAC